ACCUGAAGAGUUGGAGCACCAAAAGAUCUCAUUGCCUCUUUUACUGCUCUCACUUUUACAUAAAAUAAUGGACUCAGCCAUAAUAUGGUCACUUCCUUCCCCAAGAAGAACCUUAGCCAUGGAGUACUGAGAUACUCGGAGGGAGGGUCUUUUCCAGGGAGAUCAAGUCAACCCUUUGUAAAUCAAUCUGGAGCUACUAAGAGCCACAGGCUGCCUAAUACCAGCUCCUGAGACUGGGGUGGCCAAACCAAGGACCAGCU
This 260-nucleotide long non-coding RNA is filed under the name Cyanistes caeruleus (blue tit). RNAcentral's name for it is "lncRNA (ENSCCEG00000004688.1)". Lineage: Eukaryota; Metazoa; Chordata; Aves; Passeriformes; Paridae. The record is from RNAcentral.